This 242-nucleotide ribosomal RNA is filed under the name uncultured bacterium. Its description in RNAcentral is "partial 16S ribosomal RNA". It matches the Rfam family "Bacterial small subunit ribosomal RNA", at positions 118 to 352 of the family's 1533-position model. The record is from RNAcentral.
UGAGGAACAUGACCUUCGGCGGGGGAUAGCCGGCCCAACGGCCGGGUAAUACCGCGUACGACCUUUCGGGGACAUCCCCGGAUGGUGAAAGCAGCAAUGCGCCGAUGGAGUGCCUCGCGGCCUAUCAGCUAGUUGGUGAGGUAACGGCUCACCAAGGCGACGACGGGUAGCUGGUCUGAGAGGAUGGCCAGCCCACAGUUGGGACUGAGACACGGCCCAGACCUCCGUACGGGGAGGNAGCG